UGACAGGUUCUGACUAGCCCAGGCUUA
RNAcentral lists this non-coding RNA (27 nucleotides) under Mus musculus (house mouse). Lineage: Eukaryota; Metazoa; Chordata; Mammalia; Rodentia; Muridae. The record is from RNAcentral.